GUGAGAAGCGAUGGCCCAGACAGCCACCCACUGGAGUGGAAGCCAGCAUGGCAGGCAGGAUGGGGCCUCAGUAUGACAAGCAUAUAACAACCUUGGACUGUUGGAUCCUGCCAGCCACCUGGAGGGCCUCAGGGAAAGACUUGGGACCCUACCCGGUGUCAACGGAAGGACUUUUGCCUGCAGGUUUACAGUAAUUGGUUUACAACUGGGCUAGAAGAAAAAUAAAAUGAAACAAAAUGUUCCUGAGUAUCCUGCACUACCUAAGGAGACCACAACAUUUCCAUGCUGCACUAAAGACACAUCUUCCAAGGUCAAGAGUUAAAGGUGACCUAAGCCAUUUUGGAAACCUGCCUCGUGAUAAACAUGGAACCCAGGACACAGUAGGUAUGCAAGUGCUGGUGUUGAGAGCUAACCUAAGGAUGACUGCCUUUCUUGCAACAUCUCCAGUUCCAUGUUAAUGUGCCCAGGUCUUUACCUAAUGGACAGUUUUAUCUUGUUUUCUGUUUUGUUUUCAUUUACUUUUGCUCUCUGGAAGUAUUUUUUUAAUUAGAGAAAGCGUUGACAUUAGUAAUAAGGUUUAAAUCUGGGAAGAACUUCAAGACAUAAGGUUUAGGCAAUAACUAUGCCAUGGACCACCUUGUGCACACGUGUGCUUGCACCCUGAGGAAAGUCCCUUUAUGCUGAAAUUCAGAAAGUACUUCUUAAUCAUGUAGUUCUUAGAAAGCAGCCUCCUUGACUAGGAAAGAACACAAAGUUUGGGAAACAGACAUACACUAGAAUAUUUUAUUUUACUAUCUCAUGGGCAUGGGUGUUUUGCCUGCAUUUCCUGGUGCCCACAGAGCCAGAAGAGGGCAUCAGCUUCCCUGGAAUUGGAGUUACAGACUGUUGUAAGCCACUAUAUGAGUAUGGGAACAAAACCCAGGUCUUUUGGAAGAGCAGCCAGUGCUCUUAACCUCUGAGCCAUCUCUCCAGCCUCUACACUGAAAUAUUACUGGUCCACCUUUGACCAGCUGGGUAACCAAGGCAAAUUAUAGACUUCACAGUCUCCUGUCUGAGGAACAUACCUCCCUGCAGAGCUAUCUCAAAUAUAUUUAUUUAUUUAUUUAUUUAUUUAAUGUGGAUGAGUGUUUUGUCUGCAUGUAUUUAUAUGUGCCAUGUGGGCCUGGUACCUACAGAGGUUGGAAGAGAGCAUCAGAUCCCCAUGGCACCAGAGUUGUGUGUGGUUCUGAACCAUGAUGUGAAUACUAGGAACCCAAACUGGGUCCUCUGCAAGAGCAGCUAGUGUCCUUAACCAAUGAGCCAUCACAUCUCUCCAGUCCUUAGCCCAAACCUUUAAAUAAGGUCACUUUCAUUAAAAAAGCUCAGCACUGUGUAAGCAAAACUGCCCAGAUAGAUCAGCUGCAAACCUUCUUGAAUUGGCAUCACAUGGCCAAAUUAAUUUGUCCAAGGGACAGCAAUAGAAACCUCAAGGGAAGUACUGCUCCCCACAUACACUUAACCAGCAGGACCAGAAGAGGUCAGAGGUCUAGGGGAUUAUCAGGAAAGGAAUCACAGUCUCCACUUCCCUACAUGGCAGAACUACACAGGAUACAAAGGUUGCAGAGACCAGGAAUUUCUAGUUAUCCUUGCACACAGAGCUGCAGGGAGCCUGCUAGUGCCAGGGCCAUCUGAGAAUGCCACUUUUAAUUCAGUGCAGCUGUGCCAGCAAUUCAAUCCAUAAAUAUUCUUUUGAUUCUUUAUUUUCUAUUUCUUAAUCUCCACUCUUGCAUUGCUAUCUUACAAUAGUUUUUACUAUUGUCAGUAAAUUACUCAAUUAGGUUUUAGGGUUGCUAUGUAAAUUUCUUUACCCAGUCUACCACAAGGCAUUCUUUAAUAUACCUUUCAUCCAUAUCUCAUGUACUCCCUCUCAUUCCUAUGCCUCUUUCUCUCUUUCAUCACUAUCCUCCUCCUCUUUUGACCUCUUGAUUAUAACCUUCCACAGCUUUAAUUAUUUCUAAACAUCGUAGACUAUGACACUACCCCAGCUGUGUCCUCCCAGCUACUGUACCCACCCAACUUUCCUUUUUGAAGUUGAUCUAGUCCUUAUCCCUAUUCCUUCCACCCGUGAUCUUAUUGACUAAAAUCUGAGUAUGCUCCAUACUAUCCUUAUUUAUCUUCCAACAAUUAUGAAGUCAAAGGAGCCACUGCUGUUAAUAGGCUAGUGGCACAUUUGCAUAAUGGUAAUAUCCAAUAGCUAUGGCUGUUCUUACAUUUAGUAUUCUACUAAGAGACUAAUACAGAGUCUUCAUCAGUCACCCUGAGUUUCUGGACUGAGGAAUUAUUUUCUGAACUGCUUCCUCAAUCCUACCACUUCCAAGUCCCACUUGAACAUUGCAAAUAAUUCAAUUGAAAUAGUAUAGAUGAUAAAAAAAAAACAAGCAAUGAAAUCCCAACUCACUACCAUAAGAAACAUGUUGUGGGAUAAUCUUUUUGUCCACUAUGAAGAUAUGUGACUCUGAUUGGUUUAACAAAAAGCUGAAAGGUCAAUAGCUAGGUAGGGUUUCUGGACCGAGAGGAAACUGGGAAGAAGGAGGCAGCAAUGCCAGGAAAUGCAGUGCAAGCAGAAUGGGCACUGUGGAGAUGAGGUAAUAAAGACACAAGGCAGAAAGUAAGUUAAUAGAAAUGGGUUACUUUAAGUUAUAAGAGCUAGUUAGAAACAAGCUUAAGCUAUUGGCCAAGCUUUCAUAACUAAUAGUCAGUCUCCAUGUCAUUAUUGGGGAGCUGAUGGUCCCAAUGAGAAAGUCUGACUACAGAAACAAGAAAAACCAAAGCACCAUAACUCUUUCAGAAUUCACUAACCCAAACUAAUGGCAUUUAGUGAGAGUGUGGUAGAUGAAAACCAAGGCAGAGAAUACAAAAGAAUAAGGGUAAAUAUAUUCAAAGAAAUGACAAAGAAAAUAAGCUGCUGGGAGAAACAGAAACAGCUUCCUGAAAGAAGGUAAGAAAGAGGGAUUCCACAAAGACACUGAAAAAAAAACUGUAAUGCUGAAAAUGAAAAUAUAUAGUAAGUCAGAUAAAAAUCUCUAUGGAAAGUCUCACUGGUCAAAUAGACCAAGAAGAGGACAGAAUGUCAGAGCUUGAAGACAAGGUGAAGGAACUAGAGCCAAACAAGGACAAAGAUAAAAUUAUAAGAAGGUACCAUUAGGAAUUCCAAGACAUACAUGACAGUCUGAAAAGACCAAAUCUAUAGGUUGUAAACACAGAACAAGGAGCAGAAUCUCAUUCUAAAAGCAUAGAAAACAUUUCCAAAUGAAUCUUAACAGACUCAGGAAGAUAAACACCAAACAAAAUACAAGAGACAUUUAGAACAUCGAUCAGACAAGACCAGAAAAUAAACUCCUUUCAUCAUAUAGAACAAGAAAAGUAUAUUAAAAGCAGCAAGAGAGGGCUGGAGAGAUGGCUCAGAGGUUAAGAGCACUGACUGUUCUUCCAGAGGUCCUGAGUUCAAUUCCCAGCAACCACAUAGUUAUGAGAUCUGGUGCUCUCUUCUGGUGUGCAGAUAUAUGGAAGCAGAAUGUUGUAUACAUAAUAAAUUUUAAAAAAUCUUUUUUAAAAAAAGCAGCAAGAGAGAAACACCAAUCCGCAUAUAAAAGCAGGCCCAUCAAAAUAACUGCAGCUCAUUCAACUGAAAUUAAAAACCAAAAGGGCUUGGAAUGAUCUAUUUCAAGUUCUGAAAGACAACUGUCAACCCAAACUACUAAAAUGGUUCUUCCAUUGGAUACAGGUUUUAACAAAUAGAGUAAAAUGAAAUGAUUAUUUAAUUGUGUCUGAUCCCCAUGGAAUAAGAGUACCAACCAAUAAGAGAAACCUUAUCAUAGAGACAAAUCCAUGAAAAUUAAACACACACUGUUGAGUGAUGAAUGAGUCCUUGAAGAAAUCAGGAUAUAAGUCUUAAAAAUUCAUAGAAUCAAAUGAAAGUGAAAACACAACAUGCCAAAAAACCUGUGGGAGCUAAUGAAAACGAUCUAAGAAGCACGUUUUUAGUUCUCUAAGUACCUACAUUAAAAAACAAGAAAAAUGGCUAACAAAUAAUGAUAUACCUUAGGACCUUGGGAAAAGAAGAAAAAGCCAAACUCCACAUCAAUAUCUGGAAAGAAAUCAGUAAUCAGGACAUAAGUUAAUUAAAUGGAAACAACAGCAAUAUACAUAUACGUUUACAUAUAUACAAAGAAUCAUCAAAACCAAGAGUUGGUUCAUUGAAAAGAUAACAUUGACAAAACCUUAGCCAAAUUAACUGAAAGAAAGACACAUACAAAUUAAUAAAAUUAGAGAUGAAAUGAGAGCCAUUACAACAGAUACCAAUGUAAUUUAGAAAAUCAUUAAGUUUUAUCUUGAAAAUAUAUACUCCAAUAAAUUAGAAAUUUGUAAAAAAAAAUGGAUUUUCAUAUACCCACAACCCACCAAAAUUAAAAUGAAAUGAG
Molecule: long non-coding RNA, 4460 nt
Filed under: Cricetulus griseus (Chinese hamster)
Lineage: Eukaryota; Metazoa; Chordata; Mammalia; Rodentia; Cricetidae
Description: lncRNA (ENSCGRG00015040281.1)
Source: RNAcentral